GCAUUAUGCUAAGUUCUGAAGAUACAGAGAAGAUUACAACAGGGUCCCUCGCCUUAGGCGCUCACAGUCAUGAGCCAGGACACAGAUAUUGGACUAAAAGAGGAAAAUUAAAUGUCACGAGUGCUGUGAGACAGAAGGCGAGGCUGCCCUGGUAGCAACAAAGGAGGUGGCAGCCUCUCCUCCAGAUCCUGUAAUGAGGACUGUGGCCAGCCUCUGAGUAGCUUCAGGACAGGCUUGUCUUGAUGUGGGGGAACAGGGUCGAUGACCUCAAGAGGCCCCUUUUAGCCACAGGAAUCUGUCAUGUGGAGUUCUCAAUUGCUGGCUUUGCUGGAAAAGAGAGAGAGAAAAAAAGAGGGAAGAAAUAGAGGGGCCGGUCAGCCCUCCUGGACAUUUAUGCUUGCGGUCUCAAACCUCCAUUUCCUGGGGCUGCAGGCUGUGUGUGGGAGGCGUGCAUGGUGGCUUGGCCGGCCCGGCGCUCCUGCAGCCCGCUCUGGGGACGGCUGUCUGUUGGCAGUCCCCUCCCUGUGCAGCGGUGGCGGCCGGUGUGGACAGACCUCCUCUCUGUCUGGCUCGUCAGCGUCCUGUGGCAAAGGGUAGAGUGGAGCCUGUGUUUCUGAUGGCCGCUCCACCCCUCAGAGUGGGGCAGUCUAGUGAUUCUGAGGGUGACGCUGGCAUGUGCCCCUCGGCCCCAUCCCCCUCAAGGGAGAUUGUGGACAAGGCAGCUUUUCUAAUAAGCAGCCUCUGCUUGCCCUGUAGGAGAUGAAAGACUGUGUGUAAGAGUGGGUAAUUUUGGGUUUUCCUGAUGAAAGCAGUUGACAUUUGUUCAGACCUCGUGCACACAGCUCCCCUGCCUUUCAUCUCUGCUAUGAAAGCCUGGCCCGUCUUUGGCCUGCAUCCGGGACGGGCAGUGCCACCGGAACUGAACUGGGCCAAUGGCAAACUAUAAAGGAAACGGGUGGAAUGACCCUGGGGGGCUGUGGAUGGAGGAGUGGACACCGCAGGGCGAGUUCUGACUUUCCUGGAGGGGCUGCUCCCUGGUGUCGGAUUGUGCAUUGCGGUGCCGUGGAAAGAGCACGCCCUGUGGAGCCGGGCAGGGCUGGCUGAAUCCGAGUGCCGGCUCCUCCCCUUCCACACUGAGUGAAUGUAGGGGGUCAUUUGUCCUCACUGAGCUGUGUCCUCAUUUGUCGGUGGGAUAAUAUCACUGCCAACUCUUGUGGCUUUCACAGCUCAUCUUAGGCGCUGUCUGGAGCCCAGUAGGUCCUCAGGAAUGUUCAUUGGCUUCUACCUGAAUGGGUGAACUUGACCUUUUGUGCUGUAGGCACUGUCAGACUGGAACUGGGGACUUGCGUUGUUCAACCACAUACAGUUCCCAUACAGUGUCUGCCGUAUAGCAGGUCCUCCUCAGUGACUGGCAGGUGGCUCCAUGGAGAAAGGAGAGUUUGCUUCCGCCUCUCGUACAGCUCGUCUAGCUUUGCAGAGAAAGAGAAUGAACAAAGAGGUUACAUAACUUGAGUCUCUGAAACAGGCCAGGUUGUACAGUCUUUCUCAUGUGCAUUCAUAACGCAGGGAGCAAAUGCUUCAGACUUGACUCAUUGAUGGAAUCCCUGCUGCAGUCCCAUCUAACCACCCAUGAGAUAAGUUGCUACCCAACAGGAGCAACCUGGCCACCUGUCUGUCCAAUUUGCUCUUGAAUACCUCCACUGCUGGAGCACUCAUUACCACUGAAAGAUGGUGUUGAUGCUUCUGAUGUUCUUUCUUCUGCUGAUGAGUGAUGGGCGCUUUCUCUGGGCUUUCUGUGUUCUGAUCCUCGGGGCCCUCCUGAUGAAACAGACCCCUGUCACAGAUGACAGCUUUUAAGUUGAUGAAGGCAGAUGCCACGUCCUUUCUGAGUCCUCUCCUCCAUUGGGUCAACCACCUACCUAGUUGAGUGGCAUUGGUUUUGCCCCUUAACCUCCCUGAGCUUGUUUCUGCAGUUCUUGAGCACUGUUUAAAGACGAGGUUCAAUGAAAUAAUGCACGUCCAGAACACAGGACAUGCUGAGUUCAUGUGGCACCCCCUCCCCAUGAUGCAGUUGCAUGUGGAGUUCAGGAACGUGACAGCCCUCCACUUUUAAACAGGGGGCAGGGAAGCCUCAGGUGGCAUUGGUUUGUGUGUUUAUUUAUUUUUUUUUGAGCAAGAUUAGCCCUGAGGUAACAUCUGCCAUGAAUCCUCUUUUUUGCUGAGGAAGACUGGCCCUGAGCUCACGUCCGUGCACAUCUUCCUCUACUUUAUAUGUGGGAUGCCUACCAUAGCAUGGCUUGCCAAGCGAUGCAUAGGUCCAUACUCGGGAUCUGAACCUGUGAACCCUGGGCCACCAAAGCGGAACGUGCGCACUUAACCGCUGUGCCACCGGGCCAGCCCCAUGUGUGUUUAUUUUUUAAAGCCACUUAUCCCCACGCUUCCUGUAGUGCCCGGGCGCUGGAGAGCAUGCCCGUUCUAAUGCGCGGCACCUUUUCAGCAGGCUGGGGAGCUGAAAGUUCCCUGAGCUCAUCUUAGAUGCUGAUUAUUUCAGGGAAACUGGCAGUGACUUCUUCUCCCACAUGGAAGGGAUUCAGGGAGCAAAGCCGUUUCCUCUUCUUAACCCUCCAGUCUGGAAAGUGACACUGUGUCAGUUUGUCAGGGUUUUAGGAGGAGGCCUUUGCAGACUGUGCCCUUCUCCUCCUUUUGUGAAAUUGUCUGUGGCGGGUUUGUCUCUCCCCUGAUUAGUCACCACCAGGCUCUGUUGGGAGACUCUGGCACAGGGCAGUGGAAAGGACACUGGACCAAGAGCCUGGAGGUUGGUGCCUGAUCUUUGCUCCGCCUGGAAGAGCUGCGUGGCCUCUGUUCAGGUUUUCACCCUGGCUGGGCCUCCCUUACCUGUUUAAGGGGUGGGUUGGCCUUUUCAGGCCCAGCAGUGUGGGCAUCCUGGGGGUCUCCAGGAAGGUCAGAAAGUGGAAGGAAAGCCCCCAUGGCCCCACCUGUAAGCCCGCCAUCCCGUUUUCAGGCUCCUCUCCCUUUUCUCCUGCACUGAAUGCCGUGUGUCCCAGCGCUUCGGGGGUUCUCUGAGUCUCCUGCCAUCUGCCAGGAGCAGCAGCAGGCAGCACAGCCUCUGCACGUGAAGAAGCAUCUAUAGCCAGGAUUGAAUCCAAAUGCCUUGGCCCGACACAUCCGCCCUUCAUUCUGAACUCAGCCUGCUCUCUUGCCUGCCCCCCCACCAGCCCUUCAUGCUGCAGCCACACAGAAGUUGAGGGGUCCUCCGUAUCUGUGUUCCUGCAGACAGACUGCACCGGGAAGCAGAAGUCAUCGUAACAUGAAAAUAUGCACUAAUAAACUCAUUGCUAACGUCCAGCCCACCCACAUCCGACGAUAAUCAGUCUUUUACUGAUUGCCAGACGUUGUAAACAUCUGUCAGUCCGGGGCACGAAUAGCAGAAACUCUUAACUGACCUCCAUUUGGCUCCUUUGCUGGAUUAAUUGAUGCUGCCCAUUCCGUUUGUACAGCAAACUGAGCGAGGCCCCAGGCUUACUGAUGGCUUGGGGCUGGUGGGCUGCUCACAAGCCCAGUUUUUCCAGAUUCAAAGUUUUGUUCUGCCCUAACUGUGUGGCCUUGGGCGAGUUAAAUAACCGCUCUGUGCCUGUAUGUUUCAUCUGCAAAAUCAUACUGAAACUAGUACCUACCUUCCAGGGUGAUGCUGAGCAUUAGAUGAAUUAAUACAUGUAAAAGCUUACAACGGUGUUUCCUGGCCCGUGGUAGACGCCCGUUGAAUGUUAGCUUUGAUAUUCAUGGGCCAGGAAGCCUUCUACCACCUGUAGAUUUGUGCGCUGGCCAAAAGUUGUGUUGGUAGUUACAUGUCACGUAAACUGAUGAGAAUUGAGUUUAAAAAGAAAGUUGUUGCCUGAAAAUUAAGUUUAGUACUUUGGAAAGAAUGGAUGACAUUGAUUCGCUAAAAAGUUGUCAUCGAAUCGCUUAGAGGCAAAACAGCUGUAAAAAAUAGGCCGAAAAAUUGUAAAACUGUAAGAGUCUGUAUUCCAUAUGCUUUGCAGAUGACUUAAGUUUUGCACUCCUUGAAAGAAAUGGAAAUCAGAAGUCGUAGAUGUUGAAUCGUGACUGUGUAUUUUGCAAGAAAGACAAUUGGCACGUCAGGUCAGUGGGCCAAAGAAAGACCCUGCCUUUCGAUUGGCUAAUAAAUGCGCAGCUGUACGGAAAUAGUUCACUGUCUGUCCUGGUUACGGUGGCUCACUUUUCCAAUGACAUACCAGUGCGGGAGUUGGGUCACAGGGCUUGUUCUCUCCAAGCAGAUCAACUGCCAGCAAUUGCUCGUCUUGCCCAGACUGCGGGGUUUCCUGAUGCAGGUGAAGGUGCUGUGGGCGUGCGGCGUGAAUUACGUGCACGUACCCAGCACCUCCUGUGUGCAGGCACUGCUGGAGCGCCUGAUACACUAGUGCUGACACAGGAAAGAGACACAGGCAUGGCCCUGAGAACUGCUGUCGGGGAGUCCUGGGGGGCUUCACCAUGGAGAGGAGGAGGAAAAGAUGAGGACCCUCUGGGCAAAUCAAAAGAAAGUGACUUAAAAAUAAAAACAGUUGCAAGGCGUUGGGAACAUUAACAAAGUCCUGAAAGAUGUUUUACAAAAUGAUGCUUUUUAAUGAUGUUUUUAAUGAUGCUUCUCACUUAAAAGAGUGAGAAGGUUUCUAUUGUGUGAGAAAACAUGUGCGAGGAAAACCUCGGGGUCAGUCAUUGUUUGCACAACUGACACUUAGAGCCCAGUUGAAAAUGACAACUUGAAAUUUAAGUAUGAGACAAACCUUGUUUUAUAUUUAUAAUUAUUUAUCAUUUAUAUAUGACAUUUAUAAUAUAUAAAUGAUAAAUUAUUAACUUAUGAAUAUAAAAUAUCUUACAAUUCUUUGUUUCUUUUUUCAAGAUAAAGUCUCCCAGAGGAGGGCUAGGACAAGUGACAGGAGUGGCCCCAGAUCACAGCCAAAUGAAGGGGAGCACUGGGAAUCGGGAGCAGGUGGUGGCAGUUUGUGUUGUUAAGAUAAAGGCUGCCCCUCCCCGUGGCACACACAUGUCUUACUUACUCUAAAUAUCUGGGCCUUAUUUUAAGUGGCUUCAAGUGGCUUUUUUUGAGGUCCUCUUCUCCACACAGUCCCAUGCCCCCAGGUCUUUGCUCUUGCUGUUUCCUCUUCCCUGCCUUAUCUGCACCUCUCUACGCUCCCUUCUUCUCUCUGCAUGGCCCUCAUCAGAGACUCCUUCUGUGUCUUGCUCAGGGUGCACGGGGGGAUCCCCUGAGCAAGGACCUGACUUCCUUCUCUGUGUCCCCCUGGCUCAGUCCCCCUGCCCACACAGCGGGAAGAAGGGAGGGCUGGGAGGUUUAGGAGGGAGGGGUCCUCCCAGGCUGGGGCAGGGCCUCUGUCCUUCCUGAGCUUGGCCUCCCUCUGCCUUUACUUCUGUGCCGACCUGGUGGAGACAGGAUGGGUGGGAAUUCCUAGAAUAGAUGGGGGAGGUGCUGAUGUGAGUCUGGCCUGGCUGUUCCCCUUGCGGCCAGCAGUGCCAUCCCUGUGCAUUAGCCCCUCUCAGAGGUCUCCAGGUCCCAGAAGGAGUCAUCGGAUGACCUAGGAGGCAUUAGCAGUCACCUCCCCACCCUGCAGUUUACCAGCAACACUGAUAGCCCCUGACGUGUGUUUUCGGCAGUGUUUUGUAGCUUCCAGAGAACAUUUCCUCACCCUGGUCGCUAAUUCUCAUUUGCUGAUUAGGCCACGGAAGAGGACUGGGACAAGUGACCGGAACUGCCCAGGGUCACAGCCCAGCGAAGGUACAGCUAGGAAUCGGAAGCAGGUGGUGGCGGUGGCCUUCUUAAUCACAAUGAUUAUAGCCACAUGAUGCUGGACGCCUUAGAGCACCAUCGUAUUUACUCACAAGUGACUCGUUGAAGCAAGUGGGCCUUUCCACUGUCUUUUACAGUGGGGGAUACUAAGGCGAGCAGGUUGAAGUCGGGCUGUGAGGCCCGAGAAUUCGUCCCAAGGUUCUCCCUCCACGUCCACCGUUCAGAUCAGGGCCCAGCACGGCUGCACUUGGACAGGCAUGGAUGGGGUAGGUUGGGGAGACCCCAGAAGGCGUUCCUCCUCCGCCUGUGCGCCUCUCACCGCCCUGGUUUGGAGCCCCCCCUUUCUGUUGGUGGGGGUCUCUGAAGGAAGACAUCCCCCCCGACCCCCAGCAUCUCAUGUUCUCAGGAGCCACGCAGAGCACAGUUGGAGCCAGAGACCUGCUGCUUUUGGUGCAAAGGCUGUUUGGUUUUAUUCCACAGGCAGUGCGGGGAAGAGAAGACUAAACAGUGGAGGCCCCUCCUAACCUGGGGGCACAGCGAGGAGGAGGAGGAGGAGGAAGGCAGUGUGCUGGAAACAAAGGGAGGGAAGGUGAGGGCAGAGUCUUACUGAUGGCGGCGCCCCCCGCGCGCUUCCCUGGGUUGUAUAAUCAGCUGUCACUUCGGCCUUUCCCCACAUCAGGCUUCACAAGUACAGAGUGAACAUUAAACAAACAGUGACUGCUCUAUAAAUAUUUAACUCCCACUGUUUAGGAAUUGCUCGGGGCAGGAGACGGAAUAAGAGUUCCUGGCUGUCGGCUGCGUGGCCCUCUGUCAUGGCGGUGGAUGGCUAGGAGUUUGGGUGCCGGGCAGCAGCUGUUCCAAAAGCCUUGUGGCUUUCAACUGGGCAUGUCUUCCCUCCUUUUGGAGGGUGUAUUUGGGGACACGUGUCUUUGUGUUCAUGGAGUAGUUCAGACCCAGCACGCUGUGUUCUAGAAGCCAUCAGCUAACAUUUCUGCCCAGUGGCUGGGAUCCAUCAUGAGUGGCAUUGUUGUCAUUCCUUCAUGUGACAGCAAAACUCUUCCUUUCUUUUUUUUUAACAGCAUUGUCAAGAUGUAAUUCACAUACGCUACAAGUCGCCCGUUUAAAAUGUACAGUUCAGUGGUUUUAAUAUAUUUGUGGAGUUGUGCAACCAUCACUACAGUCUGUUUUAGAACGUUUUUAUCACCCCCAAAAGAAACCCCAUAUGCAUUAGCGGUCCACCUCUUAUUACCCCCAAUUUACCCAGCCUUAGGAAACCGCAAAUCUCCUUUCUGUCUCUACAGAUUUUUCUAUUCUGGACAUUUCAUGUGAGUGGAAUCAUACCUGGGUUUUUUUGUGACUGGCUUACUUCACUUAGAUAUUGUUUCUAAGUUUCAUCCAUGAAACUUGUAGCAUGUGUCCAUACUUAAUUCCUUUCUGUGGCUGAAUAAUAUUCCGUUGUAUGGAGAGACCCCAUUUUGUUUACCCAUUCACCUGUUGAGGGACAUGUAGAGAGAGCAAAAGUCUUUAGCUGAAAAAUCAAGAUGUGACUGAUCCAGUGUCACAUGAUUGAGACUAAACUCACUCACAAAGCAGAGUCUCCACCAUUCUGGGAAAGGUCUAGGAGGUUACCUUAAAGCACGGCAUGGGGGUUAAAAUGUGUUCAGCUGACAAGCCACUCAGCUUUUAUGUAGCACUGACUGUAUGCCAGGCGUUGUAGUAGGCCCAUCUCCUAAUUUGUUGCAAAUAUCUGAUUGUAUAGUCCCUUCCUUAAAAAGAUCUACCCAUUUAUCAAAGCCCAUCCAGCUAGAUUUUUUUCGGGCGGGAGAACGGGAGAAUAAGUUUGUGUUCUUGGCCCAUUUCUUGUGAUUUCAGAUGUUGACUCUUUAGGAGAGAGGAGCAGAGAAGAGCUGCGACUCUCCGGGGUGCCCUUCCUGUCACCUCCCGCCGUGUUGUCCCUGGGUAGUGCUUUUCCCAUCCACAGUGGCCCUUGGAGUCCCAGAUGUUUCCAGCACUUAUUUGAAAGGCUGAUUCAGUCCAGGUCCAGUCCCUGGCUUAGGCAGGCUGGCUCUGCAGGAAAUGGUAAAAAAUGGGGCUGUUAUUGUUCCUGGUCAUCUAAUUAUGACUAACGGUAAUGGAUGCUGUGGAUGUCCUGCCCAAGUCCCCUUUACCAGACCGGCACACUCACCCCCAGCUGCUAAAGUUCACGGCACCCCCAUCUCUGGAGGUUUGCUGCCUCAUCCGGGAAGUUGCUCAUCUCCCCCCGCCCCCAGCCCCUGCUGACUCAGGGGCACAAAAGGCCAGCCCCCUUGCUUCAAAGUGGGGUGAACUCUGGGGUGCUGUUCACGUGCCAGAGCUCCCGGUGGGAUCAGGCUGAGGCGAGUGUCCGCCUGAAUCCACGUCCUUGCGGAGCCCCUCCGCUGUCUGUCCUGCGCCCCUCACUCCUUUUCUCCUGAGCAUGCUCCCCAGUCAACACCCAAACAAGAAUUCCCAUCUCAGGAUGUGUUCCUGGGGAGCACACCCUUCCUGGGUCCCUCUGAUGACGUUUACUUGGAGGUUCUCUGCCUGACCUUCCUGGCAGGGCCCGCUGGGUGUUCUGUUUUGUUUUGUUGGUUUUGGUUUCAAAGUCUUCUCAGGCUAAUCCGGCUCUUGGAAAGGUCUGCAGUGAAUCAGAGUCCUGGCAUGCUUCCCCUCCUGCCUCCCUCUCUCCCGAUUUCCUUUCUCUCCCUUCCUCCCUCAUUCCCCGUGAGCAUCCUCUCCCGUGUCGGCAGUGAAUGCAGCAGCAAGAAAAAAAGACUUGGGAAGACACUCUUUUCGGCAGGCUCAGCAGCCUAGGUACCAGAUGGCCUUGGGGUCAAGUCCAGGCCUGCCACUCAGUAACCAGAAUCCUGUUACACCUGGGAUUUAGGUGCCUUCAAUCUGGAAAAAAUACAUAUCCGUUCAGCACUCCAGAGGGACUUCAGAGCUGUCCUUCCCUGAACUAAAGCUGGAGUAUUUUAGGAUUUGGAGAAUUAAGGUGAGGAAACUACUGCUCAGAGAUGUGAAAUAACUCAGCAGAGGUCACACAGCUAAUAAGUGACAAACAGGAAUGUCCAAGCAGUGAAGGUCAUUUCCAGUCGCCGAGUCUUUCACAAGCCCAUGUCUGGACCGGGACAUCUCAUGUCUCAUCGUGAGCAGGAGACUGGAAAAUAACUGGCCGGAGGGGAUAGGCCCAGCAGUAACACUGGCCCAGAGAGAAUUGAGUGCUUUUUCCCGGUGACAAGAAGACACACGCAGCUGGAAAAAGGAGCCUAGGCCGUCACCAUGUUCCCCAAAUAGCAGAACACCUCCCUCCUUCCCACCUUCUCUCCCGUGGCACAGAAUACGUUUUACCAGGGAUCGGUCACUGCUGAGCUGUCGUCACUUAAUGUGGCUUUGACAGAAUAGUUGGUCUGGAAAUCUUAUUUUCAAUUAAAUGACCUUAUUGAACUGCCUUGGUUUUGAAAAGAUUCCAUUAGGAUGGCUAAUUAUAUAGCAGUUGCUCCAAGGAGAUGCUGGCACUCCAUUUCAGCUCUUAAGUAAUUCGAAUCAAAUGCUGUCUUCUUUCCUCCUUGGAGCUGUGAGCGACCGUCUUCCUCUCACACUGCAGGCUUCUCGUGAGUUAUUUUUGGAAAUCCAAGUCAAAACAGCAAUUUUGGCAGAGGCCAUUUCUAGCCUAGCAGAGUAAACCGUAUGUACUGAUAAAAACAGCCGAAGAGUCAGUGCCUUUAAAAAGCAACUAAACCAUCUCCUUCUGUGGGGGUUAAAUUUGGGGGACCUCCAAACUGUCCUUUGUACUGUCCUAUUCCUUCGUGAGCUCUAACUGAAGUCAAAGACAUUGGAAUUCCUUUAAGAUUAGCAAAGCUUUGUCCGUUUGCAAACUGUCAUCAUGGUCAUUUUGUUUCAAGGUGGCAGGCCUUGGCAGAAUUUACCAGGCACUCUGUUUUGGCCUCUGGAUCUCCCCUGAAACGUGGAAAUCACUUUCUGUUCCCAUUCUGUGCUGUUUGCUUCUGUCACCAGAGCACUCGCGACAUUCCUCGCGACAUUCCUCGUUACGCAUACCAAGCAGUCAGAUCUUCCUGCUCACCCGUUAGAACGGAGCUUCUUGUGGCCAGGGGCUGUGUUUUUCAUCUUAUUUCCUUCCUGGCCCAUAAUAGAUGCUCAAAUAGUUGGAUGAAUAGAUAGACUAGAUAGAUGAAUGAAUAGAAUCCUAUUUCUAUUUUUCUCCUUUUUAAAAAAAAAAUCAAUCAUUUAUUACAUAAAUAGUAAAUGAAUGUUUUCACCUUGGGGGGAAAAAACAGUUUCCAAAUAAGGUUAAAGUCCUUUUUUUUUUUUCCAGUUUUCUUUUUUUUUAAAGAUUGGCACCUGAGCUAACAACUGUUGCCAAUCUUCCUUUUUCUUUUUUCCUGUUUUUUCUCCCCAAAUCCCCCCAAUACAUAGUUGUGUAUUUUAGUGGUGGGUCCUUCUAGUUGUGGCGUAUGGGACACCACCUCACUGUGGCCUGAUGAGCGGCGCCAUGUCUGUACUCAGGAUGCGAAUCAGUGAAACCCUGGGCCGCCGAAGCAGAGCACACGACCUUAACGACUUGGCCCCAGGGCCGGCGCCUGAAGUCCUUUUUUGAUCACUGCCCAUGAUCCUUGUUUCCCCAUCAUCUCUGCUUAGGUUAUCCCUUUGGAGCACAUCCUCACAGACCUCUCUAAUGCGUUUAUGUACACGCACAUACACACACACAGAGUACUGUUUUUGUAGACCUGUGAUAAAGAGAUUAUUCUGCAACUUGCCUUUUCCUACUCAGCAAUAUAUCAAGUGCUAUCCAUGUCAGCUACCUUAUUCUUUGUAACUGCUACAUAGUUUUAUUACGUUGUGUGGCUAUAAUACCUUUUAUGUGGACCAAAUAAAUAAAUUCCUUAUCUGUUUUCAUGCUCAUUAUAGUUCAGGAUCCCUUCUCCUGUAUAUGUUGACAAACUAACCCUGUCCACUGCUAUCUUUUGGUAGCUACAGUACAUUUCAUCAGAAUCAGCCAAUUGCCCUGGGGAUUUUGCUAAACCAGUAGACAGAAUCAUGAGAAAUGAAAUGAGGGUUGCCAGAGGGACCUGAAUUCCCUUCUCUGCAGAAGCUAGGGAAGUAGGUGCACUCUGCACUGGGAAUACCACAGGUCUGGAGAGCGAGGGAUGUUAGAUUUCCUCGGGCAGGUCAUUUCCUAUCCCUGGACCUUAUUUUUCUCAUCUGCCCAAUGGACUCAGUGAGCCUCUUUCAACUGUUAGACCCUGAAUAAUAGGGCUGACACAGUGCCACCAGAACGGAUAAACAGAAUAUAUUAACUCUCUCUCCGCUAUGUGGCGGGAUGGGAAAGGGGCACGUUAAAAAUACUUUUUACGGGCCGGCCCCGUCGCCGAAUGGUUAAGUUCAUGUGCUCUGCUUUGGUGGCCCAGGGUUUGGAUCCUGGGCGCGGACAUGGCACUGCUCAUUAGGCCAUGUUGAGGCAGCAUCCCACAUGCCACAACUAGAAGGACCCACAACUAAAAUAGACAACUAUGUACUGGGGGGAUUUGGGGAGAAAAAAAAAGCAGGGAAAAAAAUAGAUUGGCAACAGUUGUUAGCUCAGAUGCCAAUCUUUAAUUAAAAAAAUAUGUAUUUUAAUUAUAUUUUUAUUCUAUUUUAAUUAAGAUAAAUUUUAAAAUUUUAAAAUAGAGAUUCAGCCCAGAGCCCUUCACUGUGUUCAUGUCACAAAGAGUCUGUGAUUGGCCAGGAAUGCACUGCCUCUAGAUCUCACACUUCUCUCUUAUUCUUUUCUUAUCCAAUUAAAAUGUUUAUAUUUUUUCCUUUGCUUUGUGUGGUCUUUUUGUCCUAAGCAAGGCAAUCGGGUGUUGGGGAGAGAGAUUAUGGACUCCUGAGUUCGACCAUCAGGUUUGUCUAGUUCUAGCUGUGUGUUCUUAGACAAGUCACUAACCUUCUCUGGGUUUCCAUCUAUUAAUAUGGUGAUUCCAAAUUAGCCAAGUAUUCAGUAAAAAAAACAAAAACAAAAGGUAAAACCAGACUCGCUUGUGAAUGUUUCAUCUGGCAUUUAUGAACCUUGUCACCUGCGGAUAGAUCAUCUCGUGAAUUGAUGAGGCAUCCUAAGAGACCACCAAAACUCAUUAAAUAGUCUUGGUUCACAUGAGAACUGUGCAGCUGCUCUGGCCCCUGGUGACACACCAAGUGUCAGUGGGUUCUGAGGGAGGCCCAGGGAAGGUUCUGUGCUGCCAUGAUUCAUAGGUUGAGUUUCCCUCUAAGCUUCAAGGCUUUGAUCACGUGUCCCCUGCUUUGAGAUGCAGGACCACAAGGGUCACAGGAUCUGAUUCACACACUGGUGGGUUUCCCUUGGGGUCCCCAUCAGGCUUUCCCAUGUAGGGUGAGAGUUCUCGUCCCUUGUCUUGGCAUUACACAUUGAUCUGGAGACACCAUGGUUCUGCAGGUGAAAGGUUGGGGUGAAUGGGUGUGAAAAGUGCGUGGGAGUCACAGCCCCAAAAGGUCUCUGGGAGUUUGUCUUUCCUGCUCCCAACACUGUUUUGCAUCUCUACCGUGAGCUUCUGUUUCUGAGCACCCCUUGAGCUAAGCUGAUCUGUUGAGCCGAUCUGUGGAGGAAUGAGGCCACUGUGAGCUACCUGCCGGGGCAGGUGACCUCACCCCUCCCAGCCUCUGCUUCCCACCCCGCUGGGUCUUUAAUAUGAAAUGAGACUGCAGUAGGUGCUGAGCUCGCAUCACCUUCCCAUUCCGCUUUCUGAUAUGGAAAGCAUCAUUUUAUAGGCUCUGAAUCUGUGUUCUGAGCUUCCAAAAGCCUACUGUAAACAUUUUACACAUUAACCAAAAUAAAACAAGAAGGCAGCACAGUGAAUGGAGAGAAUAUUAUUAGCAUGUUACACAUCUUAAAUUGGUAAAAAAAAAAAAAAAAGGAAUGAUGGAUCAUUUUCAUUUACGACUCUCACUCCCUGCUAAUUUUUCAGCAGCUCUCUCCUCGUCUCAAUAAAAUGCUGGAAAUCUAGUUGGCAUUGUUGCAAGUAAAUGCAGAGCCAGUCUCGACUGUCGCGCUGUCUCUCCCUGUAUUUGAUCCUCAUCCAGGUGAUCGAUACCAUUUUCAUUCAUAAUCCGGAAACUUUAAGAAAUGAAUCAGCUUGACCUAUGAUUCACAGAUACUUGAUCUGAAAUACUUGAUGUGGUUGUGAGGGGGUGGGAGGUAGAGUCAGAAAUAAAUUCCGUUGACCCCGAAAGUCAGCUUAGGUGAACUAGUAUGGUGGGGGAGGGCGAAUUAUCAUCCUGUGGUUUGUGUGGAUGGUUCCUGCUCUCAGGGAGCUGCACUGUAUUGGGGGGACUUAAGGUGGCCACACAACCAGGGUUGAUGAAAGAAUUCCAGGUUAUGCCCGUUGCUGCAGCCUCUUAGACGGUUAACGUGCCCUUCCACUAGCAGAAGUGUCACAGUGUGGAAAUAGAGGGUUCUGAAGAGACUAGACUGGGAGUUCUUAAAGGUCAGAGGUCUCAUUUUAUUCAUAUGUGCAUCCCCAGCGCCUGGCCUCUCGUAAGCAGUUAAUAAAAGAAAGACUUGCUAGGUGGGUGAGUGAGAACGUAAGUAGAUUCUUCACCUCCACUCUCUGAAUUUGGUCUCUGAAUUUCUGUUUCCCGUUUAUCUUUGUGUGCUCGGGCCGCUAGGGUGCCUCUACUGCGUUUUGACUGAACCAGAGAUUUCAGAACUUCAGCUGGGAAUCGCUUUGGUUGCAUGUACACGCCCUGGUGACCUGUAGCUUCACGACUUGCGGUGCGUUAUCCAAAUGAGUUUAUAACUUACCGAAGUACUGAAAACAGUGGCUUCCAUGAUGUCUCCUCCCAAGAAAUGGUGGUGGAGGUGGAGGUGAUGCUAUUCUUGUUAGCUGUCUGUCUUUGCUGCCUCUUGUCUUUUCUCCCCUAGCUAGAGGAUUCAUAGACCUUUAAAUACAUAUGUAUUUCAAAAAUAUAAGAAAUUGGAAAAAGAGAGUCAGAAAGCUAUCCAUAAUGUCAUGACCCUUGGUUACAUAGUAGCAAUUAUUAUUAAUGUGUGACUUGUUUUAUACAAAGUUUUUUACAUAGUUGUUAUCUUAAGGAGUUUUCCACUUUUUCUUCCAUCUGUAUUUUUCUGCAAGCAUUGCCCAUGUUAUUUGAGAACCUAUUCAACUACCAUUUGUUACUUUUAUCCAUAUGGUUGCUGGUAGAUGGUUGUUUACUUUUUUCCCUUUCGUAAAAGAAAUUUUCCUUCUGGGCUGUCCUGUAUCUCAAGAAAAUCUCAAAAGUGAAAUUAUUGGAUCAAAAGAUAUGAAUGUUGUUAAAUUAUAUGUAUAUCUAUAUUUAAAUGAAUAGAAUUUAUUUUUUAGAGAAAUUUUAGGUUUACAAAAAAUUGCGUAGAAAGUACAGAGAGCUCCCACAUCCUAGCCCCACCCCCAUUCCCCAUAUUGUUAACAUCUUGCAUUAGUAGGGUGCAUUUGUUACAGUUCAUGAACCAAAACUGAUACUUAUGGCUAAAGUCCAUAGUUUACAUUUAGGAUUCUGUGUUAAAUGGUUCUUUGGGAUUUUCGCAAAUGCAUAAUGUCACGUAGCCACCAUUAUAGUAUCAUGCAAAAUGGUUUUACAGCCCUAAAAAUCCCCUGGGCCCCUGUUAAUCCCUCCCUCCCUCCCUCUCUCAAACCCUUCGCAACCAGUGAUCUUCCACUCUUUCCAUCGUUUUGCCUUUCCCAGAACGUCAUAUAGUUGGAAUCACACAGUAUGUAGGCUUUCAGACAGGCUUCCUUCACUUAGCAGUAUGCGUUUAAGAUUCCUCUCCGUGUCUUUUCAUGGCUUGAUGGUUCAUUUCUUUUUAGGGCUAAAUAGUAUUCCGUGUCUGGAUGUACUACACUUUAUCUGUUCACUUACUGAAGGACAUCUUCAUUACUUCUAAGUUUUGGCAAUUAUGAAUAAAGCUGCUAUAAAUAUUCGUCUGCAGGCUUUUGAGGGGACAUGUUUUCAACUCAUUUGGUUAGACACCAAGGAAAGUGAUUGCUGGAUCACAUGGUAAGACUAUUUCUGUAAGUAACUGCCAAAGCUUUCUAUUUUUUACGUUUAUUCAACAGAUUUUAGUUGUAAUACCAUGAACAUGGUUAAUCCUCCAUCUACACUUAGUGUUAUAAUGAACACCCUCUCCUCAGUCUUUUUUUGUGUGUGAGGAAGAUUGGCUCUGAGCUAACAUCUAUGCCAAUCUUCCUCUAUUUAUUUGGGAUGCUGCCACAGCAUGGCUUGACGAGCAGUGCUAGGUCCACGCCUGGGAUCCGAACCUGAGAACCCUGGGCCACCAAAGCAGAGCACAUGAACUUAACCACUAUGUCAACAGGCUGGCCCCCUCUCCUCACUUUUAAGCCUACCGCUACCAUGUCACACAGAGAUGCUCAGAGUGGUGUUUUCAUCUGGAUCCAAGUAUAUUGUGGCCACAAAGUCUCAUAGCAUAAAAAUAGCAACAACAACAAUAAUAAUCUUGAUGAUAAUAAUAGCCAAGAAUUAUUGAUUACUUAGCAUUGUCAGGCUCUUUACAUGUGUUAUUUCAUUUCACCAUUACAGCUACCCUCUGGUUAGGUACCAUUACUACCCACAAUUUGGAGAUAAGAUCGAGGCUUAGGGAGAGUGAAUAACUUGCACAAGUGUUAGUGGUAAAGCCAAGUGUGCGUCCAUCUAGUUUUGCUCGACUCUGCUCAGCAAUGUAUUAUGCCAGAGUUAAGAGCAUGAGAUUUAGAGUCAGAUGGACGUAGGUUAGUAUUCUGGACCUACCAUUUUGCCAGUCAUGUGAUCUUGACCUGGUGACUUCUAGCUGCAGUGUGCCCAUCUGUAAAAUGGGAUAAUAACACCUACCCAUGGCAAAUGCUGUCUGUUGUCUCCUCAAUAGCUAUGGCCUCCCCACCACACAGAACCAGGUUCAGGUGUUAGGGAAGAGGCCCCAGAUCUCAGGGAAGAGAGGCCCCAUCCCAGCCUCCUGAAAUGAAUCAAGAUUGGUUUAAGUCAGAUAUGGUAAUGGUGGGCAUGUUAUCUAGUUUUGUUGGGGUAAGCAUGCUAGGGAGGGGUUCUCUUCCCAAGUAAAAAGACAAAGCCCCCCAUAGGGGAAGCUCAUACUUAUCUUUUCUUCCUGCCUGGAUGUUGGGCAUGAUACCUGGAGGUGCAGCAGCCAUCUUGCAAGCCUAAGCUGACAAGCUAAUAGACUAAAAUGGUAGAGCAGAAAAGAUAGAAAGAGCCUAGGUCAUUGACAGCAUCGUUAAGCUGUUCGACCAGCCCAAGACAGAAGACUACCUCCACGCUUUUUGCUAUUGAAACAGUUCUUACUUGUUUAUGCCACCCCAAGCUGAGUUGUCUUCUCUUUGCAGCUGAGAGCAUUUCUAAUAGAUAAACAGUUUUCCACCAAAGCACAGGGUUGAGUAACUUAGUAUGAUGGUUGAGAGCCCAAAUUCUAGACUUGGAGUUCUGGGGUUUUAUUCCUAGUUCUUCCACCAACCAGCUGUGUGACCUGGACAAGUCACUGAGCUUCUCUGUGCCUCACUGUCCUCAUCUGUAAAAUUCCCAAUAAAUGUGUACUGGGAUCGAAUGAGGGAUAAUAGUGCUACUUACCUCCCAAGAUUAUUAUGAGCGUUCAUAAAAUGACUAAGUAUUUUAUAAAAUGACUAGAGCAUAGCCCGACACAUAGUAAGUGGUUAUACGCAUGUUUGUCAAAAAAAAAACAAUUAAAGAAAAGGAGUCACUAUUACUGGCUUCAGUUUGAACCCCGAUGUGAUCCUUGGGCCACAUGCAGUAUUCAAGCAGAAGCUUGACCCUUUCACUCCCCAGACUCAUGGAGCAUGAAGCUCCCACUAAAAUCUGUCUCAAAGCAGCAACAGGUGGUUUCUUUUUAACAGAAAAGAUUCCUUAGAGCAGGUUGACUUAAAACAGGAGGGGCUGUGAUAUCAAGGCGUGUCAGGGAGUGAAUGACCGAAAUACCCAAACUUGCCCAUGCAAAUGGCUCUGAGUCUCCCCUGACUGCCCUUUAGAAGGUUCUAGACUUCUGUGAACUCCUUUUUGAAAGGGUCUUUCCACCAGUGGCUUAUUCUUUUGAAUCUCCUUACACCUUUCUUGCUGGUGGCUGGUGGGUGGGAGUGGGGAGGAAGGGGUGACACCUGCCUGCGUUCGGGGCCCUUUUCCCUUGUGAGGGACGAGACCGCUGGCCAGUAUGUGAGGGAGCUGGCUGGACCUGGUCUCUCUCACUGUCUACUGCCCACAGUGCCAUCCUCUGUAAAGAGCAGAUUUGAAUUUGGGCAGCAACUCAGCAUUUUUUGGAAACCUAUCUCGUUUGUGAGCUUAAAGAUAGACGUGCCCAUUACCAAAUCCAGUGGAAUCUUCCUUCAAAAUAUAUGCCUGUUCCACUCCUCACCCUCGCCUCCAGAGACAGUCCACACCAGGCCACCUCCCCUUCUGCCUGGAUUACUGCCUCGUAACUGGCCUUCCCGUUUCUACCCUCCCCUUCCUUCUCCCUCAGCAGCCAGGGGACCCUUUAAAAAUGUCAACCAAAUCAUUGGACUCACCUGCUGAGAACCCUCCAAUGGAGUCCCAUCUCACUUGGAAUAAAGUCCUCAGUCCCUACUGUGCCCUACGAGGCCCUCCCUGCCACCCCCGCUCACUCUACUCUCCCCACUGGCCUGGCUGUCAGUCAAACAUACCUAAGCACAGGCUGGCCUCAGGGCCUUAGCACGGAAUGUUCCCCUUUUUCCCUCUAUACCUGCCUGGCUCAUUUCCUCACCUCAUUCAGAUCUCUGCUCAGAUGUCAACUCCCAGAGAGGCCUUCCCUGGUCACCCCCUCUAACACAGGUCCCCUCACCCCUCAUUUUCUGUCGUUAUCUAUAGUUCAUAGACUUGCUGACAUUAUUACAAAUUUGGUGACUUUCUGCCUUCCCCAUCAGAAUAUAAGCCCUACAAGGAAAGAGGCAUUGUUUUGUUCAUUCAGGUACCCACAGAACCCAGAACAUUCUGCAAUUGGUGCUCAGUAUAUAGUAAACUAGAUAAAGCCUUUUUUUGGACAGAAAUAAGGUCUGUCUGACAAAGUUCUAAGCCUGAUGUCUCUUGUGAACCUGCCAAGUUGACCCUGAAUCCACUUCCCGGAAAGCUCCAGAUACAUUCUGGAUGAUGGGAGCAACGCCGGACCAGUGUUGAACAUCCCAAAGCAAGUACUUUGAGAAUGAAAGUGUGGGAGCCUGGAUGACUCCUCCUGCAUUUGUCUAAAAAUCCUCCUUAGCACCUUUAGUUCCUUUUCUCCCUUCCUCUGCUCCUGGGCACCAGACAAGCAAUCCCAAAUGUGGUGUCUUUGCACCGGUCAGAUCAGAGUUCUCAUCUGGGGUGGUUUAAAAACAACAUGGCCCCAUUCCUUGACAUUCUCCCCUUUGAAAGAUGGGAUCUGGGUCCUUUCCUUGAGUGUUGUGAUGGCUUCAAGCAGUAGUCACACAAGGGCACGCAGCUCCUGCCUGGUUUCUUUGGGAUGCCAUUCUGGGGAAGUACUCAGACUCCGUGCUGAAGAAGCCACAUGUACAUGCCCUGGUCCAUGGUCUCAGCUGAGCUCGCAGCCAGCACCCAGCACUGGCCGACAGCCAUGCCGGCUGCCAUCUUGGAUGUUAGGACCAUUUGCACUUUCAAAUGACCACAGCCCAGUGACAUCUGACUACAGGGUCAUGAGAAACACCCAGCCAAGCCCUUCCCGAAUUCCUGACCAAAAACUCAUGAGUAACAUAAAACGAGUAUUGUUUUACAACGCUAAGUUUUGCAGUAACUUGUACUCAGGAAUAGUAACCAGGACGCCACCCUAACCCUUCCCUAUGGACUAAGCAAUCUUGAGCAAAUUUCCUUUAAUACUCUGGGCAUGAGAUUUCUCAUGUGUGAGUUUGGAGUGACAGUCUAUAUUUAUGUGGCUGUUGUUUAGAUCAAAAGCAAAUUUUGUCUCAAACCUAGCAAGGUUCCCAGCACAUCCUGCCUUUCCUCAAAUCUAAGAUGCCGUCCAUUAUACAACUCACACUUAACUUAUGUGCCACUAAGAAAGAAACAAAUGCUUUCUAUUAAACUACUGAAUGCCACUGGUUGUAGGACACACACCUGUCUGGGAGAUGUUGAAAUUUGCAAAGAUGUGUAUCUUAGGAUCUUUGAUUUAAAGAGAGAUUAACACAAUCAUCUAGUUAAGUACAGGCACAGAACAAGACCACCGAGAUUUGAGUUUGUGAGAAACGGGGAACUUAAAGCAAAUGUGUCUUUGUAUGAAAGUCUCUAAUUUGCUGUCCCAUUUUACACAAUAGAAUGCAAAGAUCAGUAGAGACAACCUUGUAGUUCAGGCAGAAAGCACCUUCCUCAGGCAGCUGUCAAAGGGUUAGAAUUCAAAUGACAUGGCAUCACAGUUAUUUAACAGAAAUGUAUCUUGCAGAAGAAAGGAAGUCAGAUCCCUAAGUGUGGCUGUGAGUAAUAGUUUUUCUUAGUGGAAACUCACCUCUAGUAAUUAGUAAUAGACCAACCCCCUUUUCUCUUUGGUUUUUGAAUCGUUUCUUUUUUAGAACAUUAACUAGUAGUUCCGUGAGAGAUGUCAGCCAGUGAGCAAAAGGGGUCUGGGCAGUGAGCAGGAUGGCAGGAGACCCAGGCCACAUCUAGUGGAGCAGAAACACAAAGAAGCAUCAGAGUGUCAGCAGACUUGAAGCUAAGCCUGAAUAUGGAGUGCCUCAUUUAGUCAGUUCAGCCACGCAGAGUGUUCCUAUGUUGGCCCUCAUUUGAAAUGUGAGCCCGCUUCAGGACCAGUGAAGUGGAAUGUCUUGCUCAAAGUUACAUAGCUUGGUUCAUUAGACAGAGAGCCUAUGCUCUUAGCCACAGUGCUGUGUGCAUCAAAAUGUUUGCAAAGACAUGGAAGUGGGUUCAUAUGAGACUCUAGCCGGCCCAGGACUCUCAGCACAGCUAUCUUUCCAGCCUUACCCAAACAGGGAAUUCCUUUUCAUACCUCCUUGCUUUUGCCAAAGGGAGUUUUCUACCAAUCAGUUUCUUCUUGCCUCCCCCUUUUCCUGGUGAAACCAAACCAUCCUUCAAGGCCCAGCUCAAAUGGGGCAUCUUAACCCUUGUUCCUACAGGGUGAUUCCUAGCUGCCCUGGACUCCCAGGGCAUUGUCCCCGGGGCCCCUUGGCUGGCCCUCCUGGUGGUGUUGGUGGUUUCUGUUGGUCACACCUAUGAGACUGGAAGUUUCCUGAGGCUCUGGAAUUAGACUGAGUCAGAAUCCCACCUCUACAACUUACAGCUUGUGUUCUUGGGCAAGUUUCUUAGCUUUCUGGGCUUUAAUUUUCUCAUCUACAAAAUGAGAAUAUCAACUUCCCAGGAUUGUCAUGAAAAUUGUGUGUUUGCUGAGAUGGCAUCGUGAGGGCUGAACACUGUUCUUAUGUGAGAGGCGCUUGCUCAGUCUCUGCGUGCGUCAUCUCCUUUCGUCUUCACGCCCACCCUCUGAGGUUGGUUCUUUUACCAUCAUGCCCAUUUACAGAUGAGGUGACACCGUAUGCUCAUGGCCCCACAGCCAGAAUGUGACAAAACUGGGCUCUAAUCUUACCUUUUAAAACUCGCCUCUCUUGACAGGAUCCCGGCGGAAACCUUCCAUGGACUGCAUUCUGAGGAGGUUUUGUCACGUACCAACCUCUUUAGAUGUGCUUUAAUUUGGGUCUUAAUUUCCAACUCAUUCUUAUCUAGGAGAUCUUUACCCUGAUUUGAAGGAAAAUGAUGCUGCAACCAGCUUAGUCUCAGUAGAAGGUUUACACACAGCAUGUGCCAAUAACAGGUACUUCCACCCUUGGGCUCUUCCGGGUGGUGACUUAUCAGCACCACAAUUGUCCAUUUAUAUUGUGAACCAAACACAUGGAUCAGACUAUUGGCCUUGAAAAGCUCAAGCACAGCCUUCAGUGAAAUUCAGUUUCCACUUCAUUCUUUAGUCCAAAGGUUGUGACAAUGGCAGUCUCCGUCUCCCUCGUAUGACUUGGCUGGUUGGGUUUCUCUCUGGUUGACUGUAUUCCUGGCCUCUUGGGGACCCUCUAAAAUGGCAGGCAGAGGAAAGGAGGCAUUUCUGUGUGCUGCCUUCAUUUGUUCCUCAAGGGGUUUCGGCUAAACUCCCUAAACAAAAUGAAUUUGAUUUUAUCUGCCAGAGAACAUUCUAAGUAAAAAGAUCAAGAGCCAUCACCCCAUUGAGCUCUCUCCCCACAUCUCGAGAAGGCUGGGCUCCUUGGAGUGGAGAGUGGGCUGGGACCCCAUUCUGGCAGCAUAGCGGAGAUCUUCCUGCCUCAGUGUGGAUCUGGUGAAUGCUGAGGGACUCAGGGUGGGCUCCGAGGUGGACUCAUUGUCCCAGCUCACUGUGCAGACAGGGCAGUAAGUGCCAGGCCUGGGACUGUGGCCGUAACCUUGGCCGGUGGUCGGCCUUUACUUUCAGCAGCAGCAGAGGGAUCGUAACUGUGGUAGAGAAGGAUGUCGAGGCAGAAAUUGUUGAGGAUCUACACUGUGUCAAGCACUGAGAGAGUUUCUUCAGAUAUUUGGGAUUUUGAACGUAUCUACUCUUCUAAUUUAUUUCCAUCGUCCUCAGAGAACAUGUUCUGUGUGAUUUCGCUCCUUUGAAAUGUAUUGAGAGUGAUCUCGUGGUUCAACAUAUGGCCUGUCUUGGGGAACGAUGCAUGUGAACUUGAAAAGAAUGUGUCCUCUACAGGUUUGGGGUGGCGUGUUCCAUAGACAUUGGUUGUGAAAGACCCAGGACUCCGCCUGGUACAGAACAAUCUUCACUCUGCGGCGCCCCCAGGGGAGGGCAAGUGGGAGACAUCCAUGUGGGUGAAGAGGCACGGCCAGCCCCCCAACCCCAGGUGGCAGACUCUAUGCCAACUUGUCCUCCAUGUGGCCCCCAUAAGAAGAAAGGCCAAGAACUCUAAAAAGACCUCUGAGGCCAAGAGAAAAUGUCCAGGGAUUUGCUCGACGGAGAGAAGCUGGCCCUUGGAGAUGAGGAGGGGUGUAUGUACGUAAGACUCUCUCUCCCCAGCUGCUCUCUCUCUUCUCCUCAGGCCUUCAGCAAACAUUUAUCAGAGACUUGCUCUUCCUGGUAGCUGUUCUAUGUGUGGGGAUGUAAGGAUCAACAUUGCCCCUGUCCUCCCAGAAUUUUCAGGCCACCGGGAAUACAGGUAAUUAAACAGGCAAUUAUGCCCAACAGGGCAGGGGGCAUGCCUGGAAAAGUACGUAUAUAUCAGAAUAGAGCCGCUCUCGCUUUUUUCCUCCCUCUCUCCUCCUCCGUUACACAGAUCUGCAGAUCAAACAGGAGGAUUUCCGCAGGGAAGCUGAAAGGUAGAGAUGACAUGGUGCUAUCUGUCAACCUAUUAGAAAGCUUGAUGUAAUUAUUUCGUGAAGGGCAAGGGAUGUUGCCCUGGGAGAGGGGACCCUGGAGGUUCACGGAGUAGAGAAGAGAUACUGUGCAGACAAGGAAAAAAGUCUUUCCUGAGGUUGGUAAAUUUGUAUUUAUGGAAUUGGUUACAGGAGGCCCCAGUGGGAGGUUUUUCUUUCAAAUAGGUUUUGGCAACUCCAUAGAAGACGGUCUUUGCCCACCUUUGGUGAGCUCAUGGUUUCUGUUUCUUUUCUCACCAAAUUGUAUGCCUAAACUUCUAGAAAAUAGUCAUAUUGACCCACUUAAAUUUUCCACCUUUUUAAUUGCCCUUGUUCCUGGGUGGAGGGAGUAUAAUGAGCUAGCAGUGGGAGGUGGGGGUGGGAGGCGAAAGGUUAGACUGUCUUUGAUGAGCUGGGAGGAAGGCCUGGGGCUGCGUGAUCAGAGAAUGUGGUUCUUCGGUGGCCUUUGGGGUCACUUAUUAGGUUUGGGAACACUAGUUGGGAGUUCACCAAACAGCGUGCAGCCCAUGAGGGUGGGCGACUCUUUGUGGGAGCUGAGGAGAAGCCUGAGGAUCAGGGAGGACCCAUGCUAUACCCUGGGAGGUGGCAGAGGCUGUGGGCCCCACGAGACCCAACACCAGUAAUGGAGGAACUACUGGCAGCCGCUUGCUUAUAUCCCCCAUCCUCAUUACCACCCUGGGACCCAGGGAUCUGCAUUUUACCCGUGAGGCGACAGACACUGAGCAUAGUUAAGCCAAGUCGCUCAGCUCCGGCUAGAAGUGGUGGAUUUGAGAACUGAUUCCACACAAUCCCGGGCUCUGAGACCUUGGCUUCCAUUGCCACAUGCCCAGCUGCUUCCCUAGAGCUUUGGGGGCAGCUCCUGGAAUCAGGCUGCCUGGAUUCAGAUCCCAGCUCACUAUUCAACAGAACAAUGAUCCGAGGUCAGUUCCUCACCCUCGGGUUCCUCCUUUGUAAAAUGGGCUGGUUUGGUCACCGUGCUCAAGGACUGUUCUCGAUGCCCCAUUGAGCUCGUGCGGUGCAUGUAAAGCUCUGAGCACACGUGUAAGUGCUCCGUACGUGUUGGUUACCGUGCUUGUUAUUAACCCAGCAGGACAAGGAGGAAGGUUGGGGGCGUCCCGGGUGUGCUGUCGCUCCUCUGUUUCCUCCUCCCACUGUCCCGACUGGCAGGCAAUCAGGAGUUGGUUUUUCUGGUACAAAGCUUGCCCUGGUAUCCUGGAGUGACCUGCAGGCCUGAGAUUAUUGUACAGGCCCACACGCCCAGCCAAAUUUACCGCUCGCCUCGGUGGCCCCCUCAGCCUGUGCCUCUGUAGUUGAGAGAAACCGCUACCCUUCAGCCCGCGUUCUCGCUCUGGAAAGGCCUGACCUUUAUUCAGAAUCAUCCUCCAGUCCCCACGUCACACACAGGCUCGUUCACCCACUCCCUCCCCCGGCACGCCCUUUGUUUUCUCUCUUUGGGGGAGAUAAUGGGGACCACAGUGUCUCCAAGACAGCUGUUUUUCCUUCGUCUCUGUCUCUGUCCUUCUAACUCUCUGUUCCCCAGUGGGGUCUCUCUGACACAGGAGGGUACAGUGAGGAUAUGAAGGUGUUGAAGGACAGGGCUGUAGCGUCAAACAGCCUGGGCUUAAUCCUCUGAGGUCCAGAACAACUGCCCUUCACUUAACGUUCCUCAUGGGCAUGCC
Molecule: long non-coding RNA, 23958 nt
Filed under: Equus caballus (horse)
Lineage: Eukaryota; Metazoa; Chordata; Mammalia; Perissodactyla; Equidae
Description: lncRNA (ENSECAG00000059935.1)
Rfam family: Pvt1 oncogene conserved region 5 (bases 8724-8855)
Source: RNAcentral